GGAAGACUUAAGAUGGCGGCGUUUGCACGGAGUGCAAUCACUGCGUCCUUACGGGGGUUGCAAGGCGUCCGAAGUAUGAGUCCACUAACAAAAGUCCAGAAACUCGCCAGUUAAUAGUAUUGUGUCUCUUCAAAAUAUCGGAGAAUAAUUUCUUUCUCGCUGAUCGCCUAACUUCUACUGACGAAGCUUGGAAGUUGCAGAAGGCUGGAGUGCAAUGGCGCCAUCUCGUCUCACUGCAACUUCCGCCUCCCGGGUUCAAGCGAUUCUCCUGCCUCAGCCUCCCAAGUAGCUGGGAUUACAGGUACUGGCUCCUGUAUCACCCAGCUCUGGAGUUGAAAGAGCUCUUCAUUCCUGAGUCUCCUGUACCACUGAGAAUAGGCUGGAGUGCAGUGGCGCAAUCUCGGCUCUCUGCAACCUUCACCUCCCGUGUUCAAGUGAUUCUCCUGCCUCAGCCUCCUGAAUACCUGAGAUUACAAGCAUGAGCCACCGCGUCCAGCAAGAAUAGGUGAUUUUCAAACUUGGAAACAUUCAGAAGUUAUCGCCUCAGUUUCAGAUUGAGUAGUCUCAAAGAGAUUACAGACAUCUACCACAAAUUCUCUACUUGGUGUGGUGCAAAAUCAGUAUGAUGUAAACUUUGUCUCUCAGUUUCUUCAAAGGAAAGAAGCAACUGGAACACACAUAUAACACUAACCCUUCCAGCUGCAUUAUGAGGGACCAGUACCUGUCUCAAGGCAAAAUUAUGACUUAGUUCAUCCUCACCUCUGGAGGCCAGUAAAAGUGGGUUAUAGAAGAACAAAGAGGCAUCUAGAUCUUUCACUGGGUUAUUUGGAGAGAAACAUCUCCUACCGAAGGCCAGUUUAACAAGACUGGUAGAGGAGGUUAUCUUAUCUAAUUCACAGAAAUCAACACAUUGAGUCAAGAAAAAUGAAACACAGAAACACUCUAAAUAAAAGAAGAUAAGUCUUCAGAAACCAACCCUAAUGAAAUGAAGAUAUGUGAUUAACCUGACAGGAAAUUAAAAAGAGCAACCAUAAAGAGUCUCAUGGGAGCAAUGCAUGAACAAACUGAGAAUUUUCAUAAAGAAAUAAAAGAUAACAAAAAGUAUAAAGUUGAAGAAUACAAUAACUGGACUCAAAAAUUUAAUGUGUCCAACAGAAGAAUCGAUGAAGCAGAAGAAAGGGCUAUCAAACUUGUAGAUAGGCCAUUGGAAAUCAUGUAAUGUGAGGAGAAAAAAGAAAAAAGAUUGAAGAUAGUUUAAGAGACUUUUGAGACAUCCUCAAAGGGGAAUAAUUUAUACAUUACCAGAUGGAGAAGAUAGAGGGAAAAGGACAGAAAACAUAUUUGAAGAAAUAAUGUCAGAAAACCUCAUAAUUCUGGCAAGGAAAUAGAAAUUUAGAUCUAAGAAUCUCGAACAUCAGGUAUGAUGAAUCCAAGGAGACUCACACCAAACCAUAUUGUAAUUAAAUAAAGGUUAAAGACAAUCUUCAGAGCAGCAAGGGAAUAGUCUCUUCUUACAUACAAAAUGAUCCACGGAAGACUGUCAGCAGACUUCACCAGAAAACUUUCACGCCAGAAGGCAGUCGUGAUAUAUACAAAAAGCUGAAAGGAAAACACUGCCAUCCAGGAAUACUAUCUCCAACUAUCCUGUGUUUCAAAAAUUAAGGAGAAAUAUAAA
This 1675-nucleotide long non-coding RNA is filed under the name Homo sapiens (human). RNAcentral's name for it is "JPX transcript, XIST activator". The stretch from base 1 to 125 matches the Rfam family "JPX transcript, XIST activator conserved region 1". Lineage: Eukaryota; Metazoa; Chordata; Mammalia; Primates; Hominidae. The record is from RNAcentral.